GGCUAACGCUGGCGGCGUGUCUUAGCCAUGCAAGUCGAGCGGACUUAUGGGGGUAACUUAUAAGUCAGCGGCGGACGGCGGAGUAACACGUAGCUAACCUACCCUCUGGACGGGGAUAACCUACCGAAAGGUGGGCUAAUACCCGAUGUAGUCAUCCUGUAUAGGGGUGAUGAAAGGUGGGCUUCUGUUUACAAGCUCAUGCUGGAGGAGGGGGCUGCGGCCUAUCAGGUAGUUGGUAGGGUAAUAGCCUACCAAGCCGAUGACGGGUAGCCGGCCUGAGAGGGUGACCGGCCCGAGGGGCACUGAGAUACGGGUCCCACUCCUACGGGAGGCAGCAGGCUAGAAAUUUGGGCAAUGGGGGAAACCCUGACCCAGUGACGCCGCGUACAGGAAGGAGCCCUUCGGGGUGUAAACUGCUGUCGUGUAGGGAGAAGGGUACUAAGGUGAACAAUCUUAGUACUUGACGGUACUACAGGAGGAAGCCCAGGCUAACCUCGUG
This 499-nucleotide ribosomal RNA is filed under the name uncultured bacterium. RNAcentral describes it as "bacterial SSU rRNA". It matches the Rfam family "Bacterial small subunit ribosomal RNA", at positions 28 to 507 of the family's 1533-position model. The record is from RNAcentral.